GACGAACGCUGGCGGCGUGCCUAAUACAUGCAAGUCGAACGCUGAAGGAGGAGCUUGCUUCUCUGGAUGAGUUGCGAACGGGUGAGUAACGCGUAGGUAACCUGCCUGGUAGCGGGGGAUAACUAUUGGAAACGAUAGCUAAUACCGCAUAAUAGUAGAUGUCGCAUGACAUUUGCUUAAAAGGUGCAAUUGCAUCACUACCAGAUGGACCUGCGUUGUAUUAGCUAGUUGGGGAGGUAACGGCUCACAAAGGCAACGAUACAUAGCCGACCUGAGAGGGUGAUCGGCCACACUGGGACUGAGACACGGCCCAGACUCCUACGGGAGGCAGCAGUAGGGAAUCUUCGGCAAUGGACGGAAGUCUGACCGAGCAACGCCGCGUGAGUGAAGAAGGUUUUCGGAUCGUAAAGCUCUGUUGUAAGAGAAGAACGAGUGUGAGAGUGGAAAGUUCACACUGUGACGGUAUCUUACCAGAAAGGGACGGCUAACUACGUG
This 495-nucleotide ribosomal RNA is filed under the name uncultured bacterium. RNAcentral describes it as "partial 16S ribosomal RNA". It matches the Rfam family "Bacterial small subunit ribosomal RNA", at positions 28 to 507 of the family's 1533-position model. The record is from RNAcentral.